GUGAUCACUUCAGCAGCACAUAUGCUGAAAUUGGAAUGAUACAGAGAAGAUUAGCAUGGCCCCUGCACAAGGAUGACACACAAAUUCGUGAAGUGUUCCAUAUUUUU
This is a small nuclear RNA of Oryctolagus cuniculus (rabbit), 107 nucleotides long. The record is from Ensembl. Lineage: Eukaryota; Metazoa; Chordata; Mammalia; Lagomorpha; Leporidae.